Molecule: ribosomal RNA, 445 nt
Filed under: uncultured bacterium
Lineage: Bacteria
Description: partial 16S ribosomal RNA
Rfam family: Bacterial small subunit ribosomal RNA
Source: RNAcentral
GUAAGGAAUAUUGGUCAAUGGACGAAAGUCUGAACCAGCCAUGCCGCGUGGAGGAUGAAGGUCCUCUGGAUUGUAAACUUCUUUUAUAUGGGACGAAAAAAGGCUUUUCUAAGUCGUCUGACGGUACCAUAUGAAUAAGCACCGGCUAACUCCGUGCCAGCAGCCGCGGUAAUACGGAGGGUGCAAGCGUUAUCCGGAUUCACUGGGUUUAAAGGGUGCGUAGGUGGAUUGCCAAGUCCGUGGUGAAAUCUUCGAGCUUAACUCGGAAACUGCCAUGGAUACUGGUGAUCUUGAAUAUCGUGGAGGUUAGCAGAAUAUGUCAUGUAGCGGUGAAAUGCUUAGAUAUGACAUAGAACACCAAUUGCGAAGGCAGCUCACAAAGCCAAUAUUGACGCUGAGGCACGAAAGUGUGGGGAUCAAACAGGAUUAGAAACCCCUGUAGUCC